This 321-nucleotide unclassified non-coding RNA is filed under the name Hevea brasiliensis (rubber tree). The record is from RNAcentral. Lineage: Eukaryota; Viridiplantae; Streptophyta; Magnoliopsida; Malpighiales; Euphorbiaceae.
AUUGAAAGUUGGGUAUCUAAUUGGAGGAUUUUGGAUUACCAAAUUUGUCUUUGGUUUUUGUUUCUGCCUGUAAUGUUGUGAUGGUUCAUAUAACCUAUAUUAGUGUAAAAAUGAGUAACUGAUGCAUAAAUGCAAGUAAGAACUGUAUUAAGUUGCUAAAUCUGUUGUUGGAGGGACAGAACAGCACUUAAUCACAAUUUAAUUUACAUCACCAAAAUGUUGAAUGAGAACAGGUUGGAUGUGCAAUGCUGCAACUUAUACUGAAGAUACCAUAAACCUUAUAAUUUUUUUUUUUAUAUUUGUAUAAUUAUUCAUGACAGG